This is a long non-coding RNA of Corvus hawaiiensis (hawaiian crow), 3260 nucleotides long. RefSeq lists it as uncharacterized. NCBI's taxonomy places the organism in Eukaryota, Metazoa, Chordata, Aves, Passeriformes, Corvidae. The transcript has 2 exons. The record is from RefSeq and is a predicted model, not a curated record.
CACGGCUGUGCGGGGCUCUGCAGGGCAGGACUAGGGGUCCUCUUGGGACGGGGAUGGCAGUGGGUGUUGAGCUGCAGGACCCCACCUCAGGGUGGGAGUGGGGGUUCCCGGGGGUCCUCCAGGCCAUGUGUGCUGCCCAUGGGCUGUCCUGCAGGCACUGGGGGCCGGGCGUUGCCCCUAAAAGCUGCAGGACAGACAUCUCCGUGGAGUCAGGUCCAGCUCUGCCAGUUACCUUGCAGCGGUGCCUCCGCUCCUCCAUCGCCAUGGGAUGGGGAGCAACACCAGGCCAAGACCUUUACAGCUGCUGUUGGAGGCUUUGGCUCCAUCCAGCACGAGUGAACACCAUGGCAGGACUGACAAGCAGCAGAGGCGCCAGACGAGCAGCUCUGCACAUCUACUCAAUGUGACCACUAGAUGAAUGUUACAUCUCAUUGCGUGCAACCCCAGCAGUGACUGAACGGGGGUUACAUCCAUCUGGCAGAACAUCACAUCACCCCAGCAGCUCUCUGGGCUUCCUCAGACAGCUCCAGUGACCCCACAGCUCUGGGGUGAGUCAGCCCAGCACAGGAAUCCAGCUGGAAAUUCUGACAGUAAUGGAAAGAAAAGACAUAGUUUUCUGUUGGUCCGGUGAGUUGAGCUCAUUCACUCAUGUGACCACUGUUUAAGGGAAUGAGAGGGAAAAAAAAAGAGAAACAAAACUACCCCUUUUGGCAGCCACCCACACAUCAGGCAUAAUACUGAGCUGCUCUGACUCAAAUCAGAUGGAUGCCUUCCUCUACUCAAAAAAACCCUAGAAACACCUAUUUUCUGUUAAUGUGCUAACUCCAGUACUGUCACAGUUCGAUUCUCUGUUGACUGCACACUUCAUUGACCACCUCCCCACUCUUGCCAAAAGCUGGUGUCAGCCUGGCCAAGCUUCUGUCCCUGCUUACCUGAGACACACCAGUUACUAGGUUUUAUGUAAUGACUCAACAGUUACUUCCCCUAAUUCUCUGGAAAUCCAGUGAUACAGUAAUUACUGAGAAAUCAGUCCUAAGGGUUUGGUGAUCUUCUCAGGCAAUUCUUAAAAUACUUUUGCAUGAAAGUUUUAAAGAUGGGUAUUAACCAGUGGUUUUCAUUCACUCUGGUUACACGUGAAAGACAAACAUACCUCCAAUUAAAUAUGGUGACACCAUUCUGUCCAUUUUCCAAACAAAGAACAGAAAAAAAUACUGAAUAAUUUCAGGGUUUUUUUUUUCAUUGAAUUGAAAUUGUUGUCCAACAUCCAGCCUAAAUCACUGCUAGGAUUUUCUCUGUGCCUCAAGGAAAUGCCACUGGAUGGUGAUCAAUGGUACUGGCCAAUAUAUUUUCAUUGGAUUUCCCUAGCUAGUUACCUGUUUUGCAAACUGCUAAACUACCUAUCACUAUCAGCUUGCCAAAUUCCCAUCUAUAUAUGUCUUUAUUGUUGCCUAUUUUUCCCUUUUGACCAAAAUGUUUUGUUUUAAAACCAGAACAGCCUCCUUUUUAUGCCACUGAAAUUGUGAGCAUUUGAGUCACCUAACAACACAAUGAUGAAGGACUCCCCCAGUUUCCAUUUGGAUCACACUGAAGUAUUUCCUCAGGCUCACUUUUGCUCAUAACUCCUCUUAGCCUUGCAAACUGCUAGCAGUGUCCCCAGUAGUGUCGUAGGAAUGCGGGGAGAUUGAAAUGGGUACCCUUCUGCCUGGGUGUUGGAAAACAAGAGGUAAAACACAUUAGUAGAAAUAGCUUUCUAGGUCAUACAGACCUAGAAAUUACUAUGAUGAGGAGAAGCCAAGGAGAUUUCUUUUUGGAUCAAGCAUUGACUGGUAAAAAGAGCCUACCAUAUGACUCAGAGGUAAAAUAUUAUGAAGUUAUUAGUGCUAUUAAACAGAAGCUCUUAUUCUGUCAUUCCCUGUUAGUAAAAUGAGGUAAAAGGUUUGCUUUGAUACAUACAUUUCUAUGUUCUUCCACAAAAUUCCUUUAGUAAUUUUCAAUUAAAGAUCAAUUUCUCAUCACAUUUUUUAACCCAUUGCAUAUUCUAAUGUAUUAUCUUUAUCCCCAUUAGAAGGUUUCCCAUAACACCUAAUUGCUUUUCUUUUUCAGUCGCUGGCAAAUUUGAACUCGUUUAUUGCUUCACAAACCUCAAACCAUGCAGGCUUUUAUUAACUCAGAGAUUAAUUUUGUGGUUGGCACACUCCCUGCUUUCCAGCUCUCUUGGCAUCACUCUGGUUUGUACUGCUGGAAGUGCCUGGCAACCUCAGCUCUCCUGCAGCAUUCCUGGCUGCAACUUCCCUAGGGAAGGGAUGGAUCACAGGGCAUCAUGAGUUAUUUCUAGGUAUACACCUAGAAAUCACAGCUUCAGUGCUUUUAAAACAUCAGGUGUUUAACCUGGUAGAAAAAAAACAAAAGAAAAUAAAUUACAAGAGAAACUACAAGAAAAACAACAAUUUUUCUCUGGUCAAUUCACCUUAGAGAGAUUGGUUAGCAGGAGGAAAUGAGCCAGAGAACACAAUCCAGCAUUGUCAGCGCUUCUGGAAAUGUUACGGCCGUUCACAGCCUGUGUAAUUCCUCCAGACUUUGCUCAGUGGGAGGAGGUAAGCAGCUUGGGGCUUGAGGACAGACAGAAUGGUAAGUCCUGCAGCCUUUCUUAACGGGCUUCCCAUGACUAUGUUGAUUGCAUAGUUACGUAUGUUCCACCUGAACCUGAACUGGGUACAAGUCCCACAAGAAAACUUACAAGUCCUUUACAACUUUCUGUGACCAGAGCAUAUCUUACACAUGACAUUUCUCAAUUGCUCCCUCCAACAACCUUUUCCCCAGUGUCAAGGGCAUUUGCUGUUUUCCAGCUUUGCCCCACCAAACCCUAUUCUCUCUCCCAAGUGAGGCACAAAUGAUCUGAACAAUGCUCAUUAAGUGAGUCUCAGACUGACUAAUCACAUUUUAUGUGCUUUCCCAGUCUGACUGUACCCACUGUUAUCUCUCAUCUAUAACAGUAAAUCCUUCAGGGCAGAGACCAGCAUUGUUACCUGAUGUAUAUUACCUAGCUGAAGGAGGCCAAGGAUUUUAUAUGCUUUGGCAAUAAACAGCAUAAAUAUCAUUAUGCUUUAAGAACAGUUGUGAAGUAUUUCUCCUUUGUGCAUGGUUUCUAAAUCAGCCAGGACAUGAACCUAUCUGGAGACCACAUUUGUGUAUGAAAUCUAUCUUGUGCCAAAACUAAGAUAUCCAAGUAGCAGAGAAAAUAAAUCAAAACUUACUGUUUA